GCCAGCUGCGGCGAGUGGCGCGCGGGGAUGCGGCGCAUGGAGGAACCCGGCGUGAUCCAGCGGCUGGCGCCCAAGCUGGGCAUCGCUGCGCCCGGAGUGCUCAGAAAAGCAGAAGAAUAUCUGCGACUGUCCCAGGUGAAGUGCAUGGGAUUGUUGGCUCAGAUGACGGCAACAAGCAAUGCGGUGAUGUGCCUGGACCUAGCAGCUGGCUAUAUGCAACACCCAGUGGACAAAAGCUACUUAAUUAAACUCUCCGGUUUGAACAAGAGGACUUACCAGAGCUGUAUGAAGUCUUUUGAGUGUUUGCUAGGUUUGAACUCCAAUCUGGGAGUCCGAGAUUUGGCUGUACAGUUCUGCUGCACAGAGGCAGUGAACACCGCUUCACAAAUAUUACAAAGGUAUGAAUCCAGUCUCUCUGAAAUGCAGCAGAUGGAUCUUGAUUUAUCAAAACCCUUGUUCACCACAGCUGCAUUGUUCACAGCCUGCAGGUGCUUGAAAAUAAAAGUGGAUAAGAAAAAAAUGGUGGAUACCUCUGGGGUGAAGAAGGCAAUAUUUGACAGGCUCUGCAGCCAGCUGGAGACAAUUGGCCAGCAGAUCAGCAGAGACUGUGCUUCACUGACUCCUCAGCCAACCCAAAGCCAGAAGACCUUGCUUGAAUGCACUGAAAAGGAGGAGGAACAUGAAGAUGAAGUUGAAACCCCUCGGAAGCGGCAGAAAAGUGAAACCGAAACAAAACAAGAUUAUGAAGAAUGGAAAAAGAGAAUCCUGGAAAACGCUGCUAAGGCAAAAGGGGCCAAUGUCUGACUUCAGUCUCUGGAGUGCCACCAAGAAAUGUCACUGCCUCUGAUGGGACUCUCUGAAGUUAAGAUCCCACAGCAAGUCAGUGGCCGUCAGGAGCAGACGCCUUGUCUUCCGACUCCUAUCCCUCUGCUCAAGUCCGCUAGAUGACAAUUACCCUUCCAGUUUAAUGCCCGUCUUAACUUUCAUUCACAAAAACAUUCCCAUUGGUAGAAGGAUUCACUGGACACAUGUUCAUCAAAGGAAGACGAGGCCCAUGUAACUUCAUUCAGCAUCAGUAUUUGACAAGCUGGGCCACAUUCUGUCCUACAAUACAAUGUAUACAGCUCCCUUUGACUUCAGUGGGAGCUGAGCAUACAACUCCUAGAACAGAAUUAGGCCCCAGAUGGUUCUUUGCACCUAUCCAGUGUAUGGAAGGCACUUAGAUUGGGAAUAAUGUCGCUUUCAUAUCAAUGCUUUUAAAGAAGCCAAAGCGACGACAGAACUAGCUCCUGGACAUAUGUGACAGGUUCUUCUUAAAACAAAACAAAUGAUUCCACAUUUCCUCCGUUUAACCUCUCUUGCACCAGGCACAGUUACUGAGAGAGCCGUUACCUUGAUUGAAAUACAUUGACAUUGUUCUUUUAAAAAAUAAGGAUUGUGUCACUACUGAACUGCCUGGUAGACACAAACAUGGCAAAAGAAAAGUCAUGGUACUAACAUUCAGUGAUUGGCUGCCAUACAUAUAUUUAGUUAGGAAGAACU
Non-coding RNA from Chelonoidis abingdonii (Abingdon island giant tortoise), 1542 nucleotides. The record is from RefSeq and is a predicted model, not a curated record. Lineage: Eukaryota; Metazoa; Chordata; Testudines; Testudinidae.